GACGAACGCUGGCGGCGUGCUUAACACAUGCGAGUCGAACGGAAAGGCCCUGCUCUUGUGGGGUGCUCGAGUGGCGAACGGGUGAGUAACACGUGAGUAACCUGCCCUUGACUUUGGGAUAACUUCAGGAAACUGGGGCUAAUACCGGAUAGGAGCUCCUGCUGCAUGGUGGGGGUUGGAAAGUUUCGGCGGUUGGGGAUGGACUCGCGGCUUAUCAGCUUGUUGGUGGGGUAGUGGCUUACCAAGGCUUUGACGGGUAGCCGGCCUGAGAGGGUGACCGGCCACAUUGGGACUGAGAUACGGCCCAGACUCCUACGGGAGGCAGCAGUGGGGAAUAUUGCACAAUGGGCGGAAGCCUGAUGCAGCAACGCCGCGUGCGGGAUGACGGCCUUCGGGUUGUAAACCGCUUUCGCCUGUGACGAAGCGUGAGUGACGGUAAUGGGUAAAGAAGCACCGGCUAACUACGUG
RNAcentral lists this ribosomal RNA (468 nucleotides) under uncultured bacterium. RNAcentral's name for it is "partial 16S ribosomal RNA". It matches the Rfam family "Bacterial small subunit ribosomal RNA", at positions 28 to 507 of the family's 1533-position model. The record is from RNAcentral.